ACUCCUACGGGAGGCAGCAGUAGGGAAUCUUCCACAAUGGGCGCAAGCCUGAUGGAGCAACACCGCGUGAGUGAAGAAGGGUUUCGGCUCGUAAAGCUCUGUUGUUAAAGAAGAACACGUAUGAGAGUAACUGUUCAUACGUUGACGGUAUUUAACCAGAAAGUCACGGCUAACUACGUGCCAGCAGCCGCGGUAAUACGUAGGUGGCAAGCGUUAUCCGGAUUUAUUGGGCGUAAAGAGAGUGCAGGCGGUUUUCUAAGUCUGAUGUGAAAGCCUUCGGCUUAACCGGAGAAGUGCAUCGGAAACUGGAUAACUUGAGUGCAGAAGAGGGUAGUGGAACUCCAUGUGUAGCGGUGGAAUGCGUAGAUAUAUGGAAGAACACCAGUGGCGAAGGCGGCUACCUGGUCUGCAACUGACGCUGAGACUCGAAAGCAUGGGUAGCGAACAGGUA
Molecule: ribosomal RNA, 451 nt
Filed under: uncultured bacterium
Lineage: Bacteria
Description: bacterial SSU rRNA
Rfam family: Bacterial small subunit ribosomal RNA
Source: RNAcentral